RNAcentral lists this long non-coding RNA (524 nucleotides) under Mytilus galloprovincialis (Mediterranean mussel). Lineage: Eukaryota; Metazoa; Mollusca; Bivalvia; Mytilida; Mytilidae. The record is from RNAcentral.
AUUAUUGACUCAAGAUAUUGCAUGCAGCAUUUAAUAAUUGGUUUUCAAAAUAUAAAGAUUGAUUUUUGCAUUUGAAAUUAAUACUGAGACAGAUAGUUCAAUUCUAUUAUUUUAUGAUUAAUUUGUGGGAGUAAUAUUCAUAUUUAGAGUUUCAUAAGUUUAUCCCAACCAGGGGUUUUAUCUUCAACGUGUUGGGUGUUGCAAGGGAAGUUAUACAGAUUCAGGCAUUCCUAUAGCAGUUUUUGACCAAAAUAUUUUGUUUUUAAUCUUUCAUAUAACUCCAUAACAUGUUACUUCAGAUAAUUUUAUGAUGUUGACUUUUUUUUAUAUAUAGGAAUGAAAUUCUAUACCUCUAAUCAUUUUAAAAAAAGCAUACUUCUGAAAUAUUUUGUGAGUUAUAAGGUCUGAUUUAAGAGUAUUUUUAUAUUGUUUUUGUGUUGAAAAGACUUGAGUCUUUAAGAAACUAUGUUGGAUUUAGAUUAAUGGAAGAUUGAGAAUUAAAAGCAUUAUCAGAAUAAAUUUUU